This 607-nucleotide ribosomal RNA is filed under the name Pseudocardium sachalinense (Sakhalin surf clam). RNAcentral describes it as "partial 12S ribosomal RNA". Lineage: Eukaryota; Metazoa; Mollusca; Bivalvia; Venerida; Mactridae. The record is from RNAcentral.
CUGUUCCUCUAGUUAAUUAUCGUCGUGGAGGAGUUUUAGAAAAAAUAAAGAUAGAACGGAAUGAUGAGAAUUGGUCAAAUAUGGUCUUACUUCUGUAAAUUUGAGCUUCUUUUAAACUAUAACCUAAAAAGGCUGCUAUAGAGACAAGGAUUUGAGACCCUUUUAUUGAAGCUGUCUGUUAAGAGUCUACGUGGACUACGAGCUAAGUGCUUAAAACACAAAGAGGUUGGCGGUGUCUUACAUCCAUUCAGGGGAACUUGACGGUUAAUUCGAUAAUCCUCGAACUACCUUACCUUUACUUUACUUUUUAUACCGCCGUUGUCAGUUUGUCUCAAAGAGAGAAGAUUGGGGCUAAAAACAAUGAAUUUUUCUGAAUUAUUAUUUAUUUUACAGAAAGUCUAACAGUAUUGUUUAAAUUCAGGUAAACGUGAUGGAAUGUAAAGGGCUUAGUUGAGUUACAAUUGUUAAGCAUGAUGGAGGGCAUGAAUAGAAUGUUUGUCUGAAAAUGUACUUACUAGUAAAUUUCUGUUAGAGAGGGAAGUUGAAUUGGGUAAAUAAGACGCGUACAAACUGCCCGGCGCCCUCGUAUAAGUUUUUAAAAUGAGGU